Molecule: non-coding RNA, 3074 nt
Organism: Triticum urartu
Lineage: Eukaryota; Viridiplantae; Streptophyta; Magnoliopsida; Poales; Poaceae
Source: RefSeq, a predicted model, not a curated record
UUCCGCCCAUCCCGCACUCGCGCCGCGUCCCUCUCCUGUCUCUCCCGACCGCGCCCGCCUCUCCUGCCGCCGCCGCACCUCCUCCACCCGGCCAGCCGCUGCCACUCGCGCUCGUCUCCUCCGGCCAGCCUCCGCCCGCAACCUCCUCCCUCCUGUUUUCAGAAGGGAAGGGAAGGGAAUAGAAGAGGAAGAGCGAGCGGGUCAGGCGACGGGAAGGGAAGAGAAGAUGGAGAGCGAGCGGGUCAGGUGACGGCCAUGGCCAUGGCGCUCGCAGAUCCGUCGGCCCCGUCGUCGCCGCUGCGCUCGCAGGUUCCGACUCUUCUGAGCUACUGCUGCAAAUGAUAUUUGGUCCCCAUGGCUUCUACGAGGACCAGAAGCGUUUCUUUCAGCAGCCUCUCCUCUCGCCCAACGAAGGCGGAAGAUGCAAGCGGCAGCUCCUCACCUAGCCGUAUGGUGAUGGAUUCAACGGAGAAGAGGAAGCAUGUUCCCUCCAUUGCCUGGCUUGUUUCAGGAAGUAAGUAUGCAAGAUAGCUUCAGGCAAAGUGUACAGAGGCUGCAGCUGAAGCCGGACUUUGAAGGUUGCAAGUUGGUGGAUCAUCAGUUAUUAUCAGGUUUCUGUUGGAACAAUCACUGAAAACGAUGAUAGACUUUGUCUCACAUGUGCCGCUCACUGAUGAGAAGCACACUGAAGUGAGUGGUGCUAGAGAAGGAGUGUCCGAGAAAGUACACCAAUGAUGCCCUGCAAGGUGAGCAGAAGCUAAGGAGAUGCUCCGUGUAGCCCCUAAGAAGCAAAAAGGGAGCAAAAGAACAUGUCCGCUUCAAGGGAGUAGCCGCUGCUAGCAGAUGUGCCAUGAAGAAAUUAUAGUAGAAGGGCGAUGCGAGCUACUGAUUGUUGAAUUAAAACUUGGAUUGGAUAACCAAAAGCAUAAUCAGAAAAUUGGGUCAAAUGCCUCUGCACCGGCAUGGCGGCCGCCGUCGCGGCGCUGGUCAUUUGCUCUGUCCUUCUCCCCCUCGCCUUCCUCCUCGGUCUUCACUGCAACGGGCAUGGAUCAGAGGAACGCGCAGCCGUCAUCAUCAGCACCAUGAGAUUUCCCGCACCAAGUUUUGAGCUUUGUUUUCUUUCUCCUCAGCUUGCUGCAUUUUUUGCUACCGCGGAGUUUGCGAAUUUUCUGAUGAAUUUCUGUGUUGUAUUUAGGAGGUAGGUCUCAGGAAGCACAUGCAUAUGGAUGGUCAGAUUCACACGCUUCUCACCUACUCAUUUGUUCCAUGAACAAGCCCUCGACUUAGGGCAUCUAAAAUUGCAGCUUUCUUGUGCGACGAUUAGUCUAUAUCAUCCUUAUUUGUUUACAAAGCCAUGCAAUUUAGUUAUCUAUUUAUCUGUUACAAUCAAUUGGCUCAUUUACCAAUCUUCUCAUGGCGCUUUAUUCAAUCAUGUGUGCGUGCGUGUGCGCGUGCGCGUGCGCGCAUGUGUGUGUGUAGGAUGUUAAUCGGUACCUUGGUUUUGAAUUUCAAAGUUGAAGCGAUUAUUAUGCCCAAUCCCAAAUGAACAUUAUUGUUUCUCUGAACUUGAUCUUCUCAAAUGGACACGUCAGGUCAUCUCUCCUUACUAAAGGGGUUAGUUGCAUAAGCAUACAUGAUUCUAUGAGCAAAUUAUCUUCACUAAUCUAUUUUAGAGAGAUGUCUGAUUAGCUGCACAAGCAUACAUGGUUCCGUAGGUAAUUUGUUUACCCUGAUCAUCUUGCUAUCCAGUUCUGUUGGUAUGGUCUGAAACAGAUUCACAAGUAUUUAUGAUGAUCGUUUGCAUGGUGGGUCGUGCUAGCAAUGUGCUUUGCGUAUACAUGAUUCAAAUAUUUGUUAGGUGUUUUAGUUUACACAUUUCUCCUGAAAAUCUGUAUAUGUGUAUGCAGUCAUUUUUUAAUUGGCUUAGUUUACACAUUUCUCUUGAGAAUCUUCAUAUCGAACUGUAAUAGUAUGUAUAAUAUAGGUUCGUAUUUUUCCAUUACUUCUUGCCCAGGUCUUCUAUUUCUGUACCAUACUGUUCUCGUGUCAUUCCCGUUAGUUCUUAUAGGGCCUGCAGAUCAGCUCAGUUUAUAUAUAUAUAUAUAUAUGCUUUUACUCCUGAAGACAAUUUAAUGAUGUUCAUUCUUCUUCAUUCUUCCAGUUUACGAAAAUCUCUGCCUUAUAGGGCCGGUUCAUAUUGGCAUGGAGGAGGCACAGAGGUUUAUUUGGCUGGCCUUGAGGGGGAGACCAAAGCAAAACUUCAACAUGUUCAAGUUACGGAGAUCCAUGAGUUUCAUAGAACAUAUAAACGCUGGUGGGCAACCCGCCGUGCUGGGGACCUUCGCGCGCGCACGAUCGCUGGCCGUUCGAUCAGCUUCUUCGAUCGUUUUUCACCCUCAAUUUUUACUAUUCACUUCUAUCUUUUGUUACAACUUUGACUGCUUUACCGGGUGGCUGCCAUUGGGCCCAUAAAAUCAUUGGUCCACGCAGCAGCGGAGUGCUCAUCAACUCGGUCUGUGACAAGCAGCAGCAGCAGCAUCAUGGUUGGGUUGGAGCUACAUUGGCCAGCCACCAGGACGACGCUGAUAGCCAAAGAAAGCUCAUUCCCCACCGCUGACAGCCAAAACCGCUCUUGUGCUCAUCAAGGUUAAUCAAUGUAUAGGACUGCACUUUUGUGUGUCCUUUCCUUCAAGCUGUCAUUCAAUAGAAGAGAGGAGCGAGGCCUCGAUCCAGACUCAGGAGGAGACGAGGAGCAACACCUAUUUUUAUUGUCCGUCAAGCGCUAUUAUACUUUGCGGUUCCAGCCACCUGAUCACUAACCUGAAUGAGUAAGUAGACCAUUUUAUAUGAUGGUCUUGCUUCCUUUUGUGAUCAUGUAUCUAUGUUAGAUCCGGUGAAAAAAGGCGGCUUCCAAGCAGAGGAUGCGGCAGUGUUGGCCACGUUUGGUUUUCAUAAGCUAAUAAUGUAUCCCUUCCUAUCUACUUCCUACGUGUACCACAUUGUAACUAAGCAUCUAUGUACCAGUAGUAAAGACUUGAGUGUCUGAAUAUUCUCACAAUAGUUGUCUCCCUCUC